AUUGACUUAAUAUUUAUGGUUCAGUGGUUUGCAUAAAUUGGAUACAUAGGAUUUUUGUGAAUGUAAUAAAGAACUUAUGAUUUUUUUUUGAGACGAAAACGGUUUUCUACCUCUCAUGGUAGCGUGUUUUAGAAGAAAAAGAUUUUCGUGUGGGAAACUAUUUUGAAAAGGUUUUUAUUGGUUUUCAUGACUUUUUGUGUUUCAAAAUGAGUUUCCGAGUAAAAAAUAUUUUAAACUGAUAGAUGUGAAUUUAUGGAUAUCUAUGAUGUCUAUGAUGAAAUGAAUAUAAAUGUGAAUGGAGAAUGUAUGUGUAUGCUCAUACAGUUGUGGUUGUAUAUUUGUAAUAUCUGAGAUUUUGAGCAAUAAAGAGGGGAUUUUGAAAUUCAAAUUUUUGAAUUCAAAUAUAUAUAUAUAUAUAUAUAUAUAUAUAUAUAUAUAUNUUAAAGUGAAUAGUAACUUCGAUUUUCCGGAGAAGCCAAUGAGUGGAGAAGGCUUCUGGUGCGUAUUGGACUUCGAUCAUAGUGAUCUAAUAGCUAGUUUUCGACAGUUCGACUAUCCUGGACCCAAUGGCACUGACGGAUUUAGAUUCUGAUGCACGAUUUUCGAGAAAAAGAGUUUUAUUGGAUCUAUGUGUAUAGGUGUGGUUUUUGGAGAUUGGAGAGGGUUGGUUUUGUCGCUAAUCGGCGACCGAAUCGGACAAAACGAAAUGCUAGAUUCGAUGCCCCACUCGUGUUGAACGCACUCGCACGAUCCGAUCGAAAAUCCGACUGACGGAUCUUCGGGAAUCGCGAAAUAUUCGCUGAGGGGUCGAAAUCGGCAAAAUGAAAAAAUCGCAAAAAG
RNAcentral lists this long non-coding RNA (840 nucleotides) under Ananas comosus (pineapple). RNAcentral describes it as "long non-coding RNA (ACOM_LNC034985)". Lineage: Eukaryota; Viridiplantae; Streptophyta; Magnoliopsida; Poales; Bromeliaceae. The record is from RNAcentral.